This 813-nucleotide ribosomal RNA is filed under the name uncultured bacterium. Its description in RNAcentral is "bacterial SSU rRNA". It matches the Rfam family "Bacterial small subunit ribosomal RNA", at positions 610 to 1418 of the family's 1533-position model. The record is from RNAcentral.
UAACUGUAGAACUGCAUUGGAAACUUUCCAGACUAGAAUACUGAAGGGGGCAGAUGGAAUUAGUGGUGUAGGGGGUAAAAUCCGUAGAUAUCACUAGGAAUACCGAAAGCGAAAGCGAUCUGCUGGGAAGUUAUUGACGCUGAGGCACGAAAGCGUGGGGAGCAAACGGGAUUAGAUACCCCGGUAGUCCACGCCCUAAACGAUGAAUGCUAGUCGUCGGAAAGCUCGUCUUUUCGGUGAUGCAGUUAACACAUUAAGCAUUCCGCCUGGGGAGUACGGUCGCAAGAUUAAAACUCAAAGGAAUAGACGGGGACCCGCACAAGUGGUGGAGCAUGUGGUUUAAUUCGAAGAUACGCGAAGAACCUUACCUAGCCUUGACAUUGAUAGAAUCUGGUAGAGAUACCGGAGUGCCUUUCGAGGAACUUGAAAACAGGUGCUGCACGGCUGUCGUCAGCUCGUGUCGUGAGAUGUUGGGUUAAGUCCCGCAACGAGCGCAACCCUCGUCGUUAGUUGCUAACAGUUCGGCUGAGCACUCUAGCGAGACUGCCUUCGCAAGGAGGAGGAAGGUGAGGACGACGUCAAGUCAUCAUGGCCCUUAUGGCUAGGGCUACACACGUGCUACAAUGGGGCGUACAGAGAGUUGCGAUACCGCGAGGUGGAGCUAAUCUCAUAAAGCGUCUCUCAGUUCGGAUUGAUCUCUGCGACUCGAGAUCAUGAAGCUGGAAUCACUAGUAAUCGUAGAUCAGCAAUGCUACGGUGAAUACGUUCCCGGGUCUUGUACUCACCGCCCGUCACACCAUGGGAGUUGAUUUC